Molecule: unclassified non-coding RNA, 12201 nt
Filed under: Hermetia illucens (black soldier fly)
Lineage: Eukaryota; Metazoa; Arthropoda; Insecta; Diptera; Stratiomyidae
Description: uncharacterized protein CG43867, transcript variant X14
Source: RNAcentral
UGCUUCAACAAUUUCUGCUGCUCGCGCUCGGGUCGUCGUCGCUCGUCGGUUCUGAGGCUGUCGCCGUGUCUUGGUCGCGCCGUCGUUCGUUGAUUUGGUGGAAAACCUCGCGAGGAGGCUGCGAAAAAAACGCACAAAAAUUAAAUGAAAACUUCCGUACGGGAUUGCGGUGCAGUGAGGAAAGCGUUGCGCAAUUCGCGAGCCAGUGAAAUUCACGUGCAAAGUGACUCGGGUCGGGACCGUGGGUGCAGUGGAAUUGCGUGAAAAGUGCGUGUGGAAAGUGUGGCCGGACGUGAGCUGCGUGAAGGAAGUCCAAUUGGCCGAGGAGCGGAGGAUCGCCAGACGUGGACCGUUGCCGUAAAUGCUAGAAGCGUAGGAGAGAUAAUAACUUGCGGCAAAUUUCGAGACGGCGCCAUAUCACUAACAAAUGUCUGAUGAGGCAUCGACGGGACGUCUCUCGCAAAUAUUCGAUUCGUUAUCAUGUCUGAGUGAUCUGGAAAAGCAACAACAGUCACCGCAGCAGCCGCAGCAACAGCAAAACCAAUAUCUCCACCAUCAUCAUCAUUCGCGGUGCUCAACAUCGCCGUCACCGUCACAAAAUCAAUUUCAAUAUUCGAAACAGUUUCAAUCACCUUCGGAUCCUAGUCAUAACUAUGUCACAGGCACGAGCAGCAGGACUCAAACCCUAUCAUCGACAUCGUCGCAAAAUCACUCUCUGACUUCAUCAUCGUCGACGUCGUCAUCACCCUCUUUGCCAAAACGUUCACACUCGUCAGGUAGUAGUUGCAAUCUAGGCGGUGCGAGUGGCGGAAUUGGGAUAUCGACCGCAUGCAGUUCUCCCAUUCCGCCGUCGCCAGCCUCACGCAUAUCUACCGCAGGAACAUCACAAUCAACACCAAAUAGUCCACGCCUUAUGCCAAGGCGCGUGCAUCGGGCUCCACCGAUUCCAGCCCGUCCGAAUGCCGCUUUGAUUGCAAAUCCCGCACUCGCCGCUUUAGAUACCAAUGCUCCUUGGCCGCAUUUUUCGUCAUUAACGGAACAUUUGGAUGUUCAUCAGGUGAAUAACUACACGCAAGCAUUACCGGAGAUCAACUGGCAGGAGCGAUGUCUUGAGCUUCAAUUAGAGCUUCAUCGAUCGAAAAACCAGGCAGGACGAAUACGUGAUAUGCUUCGCGAAAAGCUCUCCGAAUUGGAACAAAGGGUCAUAGAAGCAGAGGAGAGAGCAGAAGAAGCCGAGGACAAGGUCCGGGCAAUGGAACAACGACUAAGUGAAUGGCCAAAAACGAAUACAUCAGGAUCACCAAAUCAUCAGUCACAAAAUACUGCUAGCAUUUCGAACGAUGCCGAGAAAACCAUAACAAAUCUGGAAAUUCAAGUCGAAGAGCAAAAGCAAUUACGCCUACAAGACGCGAAACAAGUGGAAGCGAAAGCUGCCAAAAUCAAGGAGUGGGUCACAAACAAGCUUCGUGAACUGGAAGAACAAAAUCAAGUGUUGCGCGAACAGAAUGUAAAGUGCAACCAACAACUCGAAAUAUUGCGCAAUCAUAUAGCCAGUAGUACCUCUGCACGACACAGUAGCAUUCAACAACCAGUUCGUUCUAGUCUAAGCUUAGAAGUACAAGAAUUUGGCGACAGUCCUGGAAAUCGGCGGCGCAGCGAAUCUUUAGAACCGCCUGAGAACCGGACGUUAGCUAAAAACUACCCAUUGCACCAACACCGACGCAAUCUCUCCAUGGAGCCGCAGGAGCUGGCGCGCGAUCUAGCGGAAGCGGUAGAUGGGCUCAGUAUCAUUCCUAUCCCUCGGGCACCUAGCCCCAACAAUUCAGAAACGGAUACACUUCAUGAUUAUGCAGAGAUUUACACUCCUUCCAGAGAGAAGCUUCCGCCGUGGAUGAAGAAUAACCCCCAGUUUCUACCAAGCGGUGGGAAUUCGAGUACAACAACAACCACUACAACCAGUGACCUUGUAGGUGAUGCCACAGCAGCAACCGCAGCUCGGCCUCCUACGCCACCGCUUCACAGGUUCCCAAGUUGGGAAGCAAAAAUCUACCAAGUAGCGAACGAUGGUCUUGCAGCGGGAGAAGAUGCCGAUGGUCAAGAAUCUACAACGGCCAGUGCGGGAGGAGUAGGCGGAGGCGCAACAGUUCCUGGAAGUAAUGCAAACAACCGGGGAGCACAAACUGCUAGUGGCGGGUUUUGUGAUAUUAGUGUACCCGUCUAUGCCACUGUAAAAGGGCGUGCUUCUCAAAUACGUUCCAUGCCAUUCACCGGUGAUUCAAGCGAUGAUUCCAGCGACGGUGAGGAGCAUGCUGUGAUGAUGACACACAAUUCGCACAACUCUUCAAGUACGGAUAACACUGAAACAAGUACAUCCGGUAGUGCUUCCAGUCCAUCCAAAAGUCUAAAGACAUCAUCUAGUCUAAGUCCGGCAAAGCGUAGUGGUUCGGAAAGUCCUAAAAAUAAGACUAGAGUAAUUUCAGAUACUUCAUUUGAAUCAGGCAUGUCUGACGAUUAUGCGAUACCACCAGAUGCUGUCUCCGAGUCAACCUGCAUGGACGCCUCAAUGCCGUCACUCUUGAUGCGAGCCUCGUACGCCGAUUCGCCCAAUAAGAAGUUGGAAUCUCUAGAGAAGGUCGGACAUUUAGCGAAACUGGGCGGUAAACUGAAAACUUGGCGGAAACGUUGGUUCGUCUUGAAGAACGGCACUCUCACCUAUUGGAAGAGCCAGCAUGACGUGAAUCGGAAACCACAAGGGCAGAUCAUGUUGGAUGAAGCUUGUCGGAUUAAUCGUGCCGAUGGUGCAUCUACUUUUGAAAUUGAUACAGGGAAGAAAACGUACUAUUUGACGGCUGAUUCUAUUGCAACAAUGGAGGAUUGGAUCAGGGUCUUGCAAAAUGUCCAACGUCGUAAUGCAACCAAACUUCUUCUAAGUAGAGAGGAUCAGAAACCAACUGUACAAGGUUGGGUGACUAAAGUGAAAAACGGUCACGCCAAAAAAUGUUGGUGUGUACUACUUGGUAAAAUGUUCCUGUACUUUAAGGCUCCUGGAGAGACGAACCCAUUGGGACAAAUUAAUAUGCGUGACGCACGUGUCGAAGAAGUAGAACAUGUUUCUGAUUCAGAUUCCGAAGAACGUGAAGAUCCAGCACAAAGUCAGGCUCGACUGACGGUUGCAAUUUAUCCCGCCCAUCAAGGUCCCACAUAUUUAAUUCUACCCGGCAAACAAGAACGUGAUAACUGGCUAUAUCAUUUGACAGUAGUGUCAGGCGGCGGACCGAAUGCUGGUACUCAGUACGAGCAAUUAGUUCAAAAGCUAAUGGAAACUGAUGGAGAUCCGAAUUGUGUAUUAUGGCGUCAUCCUAUCCUUCUACAUACAAAAGACACAAUCACAUCACCUCUAUCUUCACUACAUUCUGAAUUGUUGCAAUCGGAAGCCAUUAAACUAUUCAAGUGUUGUCAACUUUUCAUGUCGGUAGCAGUGAAUCAACCAGGAAUCGAUUAUCAUGUCGUUUUGGCACAAAAUGCUCUUCAACAAUGCUUAGAUAUGCCUGAAUUACAAACUGAACUGAUUUGUGCAUUGAUCAAGCAAACAUCACGACACACCGGACAGAAAUUAGGUGUUGGGGUCCAGGUAAACAAGAAACUGGGCAAGCAAACGCGCCAACUGCUAUUGUGUGCGACCCAGAGCCUAUUCACUUGUGAUACGCAGCAAGGGGGUGCAGCACAGGCAAACGGAAGCUCCCCAACAUCCAUUCAGUAUACAUUUCAGGCUCCACCCUCUGCACCCAUAAUCGAUUGUAAAUCGAAUCCACCUGCUUACACGUUUGUACAAGGAUGGCAGCUACUAUCGUUGGCCGUUUCGCUUUUUGUUCCUAAAAAUAAUCGUCUUCUGUGGUACUUAAAACUGCAUCUGUCCCGAAAUGCCGAUAGUAAAUCCGAAACUGGCAAAUAUGCAGCGUACUGUGAACGUGCCUUGGAACGGACCAUACAAAAUGGUGGACGUGAAACGAAACCGUCGCGUAUGGAAGUUCUGUCGAUUCUCUUGAAGAAUCCCUAUCAUCAUUCGUUACCUCAUGCGAUUCCAGUUCAUAUGAUGAACGGAGCGUAUCAAGUCAUAUCUUUUGACGGCUCAUCAACAAUAGAAGAAUUUCAGACUACACUCUCCCAAGAGAUCGGUUGCCGCGACGCCGCCAAUGGAUUUUGCCUCUUCAGCGAUGACCCCAUUGAAAAGGAUCUGGAGCAUUAUCUUGAUCCUCAAGCAAAACUGUGUGAUGUAAUCUCAAAGUGGGAAACGGCUCUACGAGAAAAGGGCUCCGGAAAAUUUGAAAACUCGCGAGUUAUUCAACUGACAUACAAGAAUCGGCUAUAUUGGAAGCAUUCUACGAAAUUCGAAACUGACAAGGAGAAAUUGCUUCUUUGCUACCAAACCAAUCAACAAAUCGUACAAGGACGAUUCCCGCUAUCUAGAGAACUGGCUCUAGAACUAUCCUCAUUAAUGUCACAAAUUGAUAUGGGUGAUUACUCGCCAGAAAAAUCUAGAGGUUCAGGCAAUAUGAACGCAUCACUUCAAGCACUGGAUAAAUUUUAUCCGUAUCGGUACAGAGACGCACUGACUCCAGAACAGUUGAAAGAUAUUCAAGAACUAUUGAUAUCCAAAUGGAUUUUAUUGAAAGGACGCUCAACGUUGGACUGUGUGCGAAUAUAUUUAACUUGUUGUCGAAAAUGGCCAUUCUUCGGUGCAGCUUUGUUCCAAGCGAAACCCCGACAUUCCGAUCAGGCGAUGGCAUGGCUGGCAGUAUCUGAAGAUGCAUUAAACGUCCUAGAAUUAUCUUCAAUGGCCCCUAUUGCCCGUUAUCCUUACACUUCUGUUAUGACUUUCGGUGGGUGCCAAGAUGACUUCAUGUUAGUCGUGGGUUCCGAAGACACAUUAGCAACCGGAAGUAAUGAACAGAAGUUACUUUUCGCAAUGAGCAAACCAAAGAUCCUAGAAAUCACCUUGCUUAUAGCUGACUACAUGAACGCGCUGGGCCAUACAUUGCCCGGAACACCUCAAAUGAAUACGCUGACGCGCAAUGGUUCCCACCGAAGUAUACGAUCGCGACCAACUCAUGGUGGAGGUGGGGCAUCAACAAACGCCACUACAACUGCCCACAACACCCUGAACUCUCAUGCCACUCAUACGCUGAACUCUCAGCAUUCACACACUUUGAAUUCAUCCCACUAUAGUGGAGGUAGUCACCAGAACACAAUGAGUUCGUCCCAUGGCGGUCAACCUGACAUAUUGAAGAGUACACCAGAUCACCAGAGGCUGAAGUGAUCCGGCCGAGGGGCUGACUAGCAUGGCGUUAUACGAGUGAAAUUUACAAAUUUAUAGUGAACGGAAACAAUAGCAAACAAGCAGGUAACACGAUAAUGCGACGACGUUCGAUGACGAUACUGUGAUUGUAUGAUCUUGUAGACGAGGGAUGAGAAACUUAUAUUACAACAAUUGUAAGUGUAAGCUUUCAACGACGAUACAAUGACUCAAGUAUAAAUCCUUAAAUAAGUACGAAAUCGAUUUUAUAGCAAGUAAGGAAGAGACAUGAGAACACAUUUGUAAAUACUUACAUGCAUAACUGAUACAAUUUAUGGGGGUCAUAUCGUUUCUUAGUUUUAUAAAUUGACAUAAGGCAGAAGUUUUUGUGCUUCUUAGGUUUCAUUUAUUUGUUAGAGCAAAUAGAACAUAGAAGGGAAGCUAGUCGCGAUAUACUCGUAUAUUUUAUUAAAGCUACUAAAUACUUUAUAACAUUAAGCUACGAGCUAUUUUGUUUUACAAGACCUUUAAAUUAGUUCAAAUAAUCUAAUGUUUUCUGUGUGUCUACGCAUCAUGCUCAGAACUUCUUGUUGCCAGAUCCGAAGACGAUCCGAAAACAUUCUUUGUUCUAGUCGUUUUAAUGAGUGUUUAUUAUUUAAUGAACACGUUGAUUUGGAACGGUGUCUACGCUUGGGGGAAUAACCGGAAAAAAUAUACACCAAAUAGGGUUGGUAGUAGAAGUCACGCUUUAUCGGAAGUGGCACGACAGUAAAGUGGGUAACACGCAGAUAAUAAAGGGACUGUUUUCCCAACACUUCAAUUCAAGACAAACGGAAAGGUAGAAAAGAAUAAAACUUGAUUAACUUUAUAGUCUUUGGAAAUUCUGAAAAGUUUGAGACAUUGGAAAUCUUUUGGCCCCAAUAUAGCCUUACUCAUUUUCCCCAAUUCAAAUCAAUGUCUCUAGGUUUACUGCGUGCUUCUUUGAUUGGCAAGAAAUGACUCCUCCGUUCCAGGUGAACACAUAUUCCAUAAAUGAUCCCUUGUCUCUCUGUCCCAAUAAGCAUCUACGAAGCCAGUAAGUAUAAUUUGCUGAGUGCUGAAAACGGUGCCAAUCCUUCCAUCUCCGCUCAGGUGCUUUCCAGUGACUCUUAUGUUAUUGAACUUAAUCAAUGUUUUAGCUGCGUUUGAUAUAACCGCGUCGUGAGAGAGAGAGGUGUCAAUCCUCUUUUAACUUUUCCGCAGGGAGAUUCUAUUUCAUUUGGUUUGGACAAAUUCGUGUUUCUCUCAUGCUUUUUCACUGAAGUUGUGGAAGCUUUGUUUUCACGAAUGAUACCCCCUGAUAUCAUAAUAUGUGACAUUAAAUCGAUGGAUAAACACUUUUCAAUGUGCAACAAAUACAAUAGCAAAUCCAGUAAACUACAGACGAGAACAGGUGCGUAACUCUCAUUAAAAGUUAUUCCUGGUAGCUGGUCGAUAUACAAUAUACCCAAUAUCAUUGUUCAGGAUGGAUGUUAUUUCGAUAUAUUGCAUUGCUGCAAUUUCUCUCCCAAGAUGCUUCAAAGGAAUACCGUGCGCUCUUCCUGGCUGCGUUUUUUUCCCGGAAGCCGAGCGAAAGAGACCCUCUUCACCGUGCACCCGACGUUGAGGCUAUAAUGGUGUAUGCCUGGCUUGAAGACAUCGAAGGGGCGCUUGUAAGGUGGCUAUUGCGGCUUCCAAAAGGCGGUCGUCUUAAUUAGGACAUGCAUGCAAGAUUCAAGCCCAAGGAUCAUCUAGGGCCAUUAUACUGGCUUUCAGCGUCCUGUGCCAUCUUUCAAGCAUCCCAUUGAACUGCGGUUGGUACACGGUUGUCCGGUGGCGUUUGAAGCCAUGGAGUUUGCCCAUCUCUGAGAAAUGGGAGGACUCAAACUACAUUCCCUGGGUUGCGAUUAUAAUUUCCGGCACACAAAAGCGUGGAAUCCAUUCUUGACAAAGGGCCUCAGCACAAAGUUGUGCAGCAAUGUCUUUCAGUGAGAUCGUCUCAGAUUACCGCGUGAACUGAGAAACCGUUUGCGUCUCGAAGGCACCAAUGAUGUCGAGGUGGAUUGUGUGGAAACGCUUGGAGGACGAGGGAACACGCCAACAUAACUUGCGAAUGAUGUUCGAUAACUUGUUUGAUUGAAAACUUCUGCCAGAAUUCCUGAAAUACCGGCUACGUCAACGAUCCUCUUCACUGGGCAUCUUUCUCUUUUUAUUAUCAAAACUGGAGUAAAUUUUAUUCAAACUGAAUUCUACUGUCGGUUGUCUGAGAAGUGAGGCCGCUUGUAUCAUCAGCUGGAAGAAGCGUUGAAGUGAAACGAAAAUUCAAAAUACUCCGCAGGAAGUUCUGAGACGCAAGAUUCGUUUGGGAUCCGGGCGACCUCUCGGGUGAGUCUAAAUACUUAUGGUUGCAAUAAAUAUAGUGGCUAAGGCAGAAACGAGAACUUUUUUGACGGCGACAGUAACCUGUGGCACACAAAAUCUGAGUUGAUACAAUCUUUUCGUCGCGCUUGAGACUCCGCUUCAUGUGCACCCGUCAAUUUACACUUGGUUUCACCAAUUCUUACUUAUGUUAAUAUUUUAUUUUUUAUAUUCAAUUAACAAUCACUGUUUCUUUAACUGCUUAAAUUAUUUUGAGCUUUUUAAAGUUUAAUUACAAUAAUAAGCUGGGUACGGAUCUCCACCCCUCCAACUGUUGACCACCACUCCUCUGAAUCUUUUUUGCACUGACAUCGAAAACCAAUCAAACGUCAAAAAUUGUUUUUCGUUGUCAUGGACAACGCGGUUCGCAGUUGCGUUCGUUCGACAAGCCUGCUUGCGCCGCCACAGUUGAUAACAAACCGUCAAUGUUUAAUGUUUAUCUUGGAAAUGAUUACAAUGAGCACCUUCAAGCGAUUGGACCUACAAGCUACGCCAAAGUCGCUUGCAACUUAAUUCCAAGUCCGGAGAGAUCUUUUUAACGGUUAGAUUUUCUUUUCUCGUUCCGUGGUAUGAGGUCGAUUUUGUUCCUAAAUACUGAUUGACAUUCGAUAACCCAGUCUGUCCUCAGGGGUGGUCAGUUCCGGGUGUGGCCUUUGGUGAUAUUUUGGUCGCAACCGACUUCGUCUUGUUCUUAAAUUUUACUUCCUUUUAAGUAUUAAAUCCGAAAUACUCUAAAAAGAUUUUCUUCAGAAGCUUUAUGAGCUACAUCGCCGAUGAGGUGAUGUUCCAAUCUCUACAGGUGGUUAGGACUUGGUCCUUUUCUCACGGUGCUUUCGCUAUGACGUUAUCUCGCCCAAGCUGUGGUGCAACAUGUAUCACUGAUUCAAUGAGAAUGCUUCAGUAUUCCAAAUUUGGGGAGCAUUCAUUAAAAUGUGAACCGUUUAAAAAUCCAUAUGUCAUUUAGUAUGUUUGUAUGUUUGCGAAAUACCACAUUUUAUACUGGUGGUCGAAACGAUUGAUCUUGAUCCUCAUCUCACUGAAAAUUGUACGAAGAAUUCUAUGAGUCUAGGGGGUGAUUCAUAUAUUUGCCUUUGGCGGUUUAACUGCAAGUGAAAUACUCAUUUUUUUCCAAUUUUUGCUUGAAAUCUUGAACAAUUUCGUUUUUUUUUUUUUUUUUUGUAAUGUGGUGCUGAAAUGAAUGCUAGAGGCUUCAAGUCUAUCCAAUUGCUGGUCUCUACUGAUGAUAUCCACACAGUGGGAAGAACACGGGAAGUACAGACUGUCUUCGUUCAGGUGGAGCAAGCGGUGCAAGAUCUUGGGUUUGGACUUGGUUCAUGGUAUGAGCAACACAAUCCAAUAGUACUAGCGAAUUGGAAAAAAGGGAAAAUAUAGGAGACGAGAGUUUGAAUUAUUCCGAACCUGCUAUUCUCAUAUCUUCUUGUCAAAUAAAGUUACAAGCUGUUAGCCGCAUUCGAGAGGAGAAUAUAUGAAGAAGUCUAUGAGCGAUAUCCCGAUAAAGUAUGGCUCAGUAGCAAAUGGCAAAAAAUAGAAAUACUUCCGGUCUUGGCUAAUUUUUUUCAAUUCAUAUUUAAUAAAAUGGUAUUUCGAGAACCAUCGAGUGAAAGGUCAGUAUUAGUCCCUGAAAAACCAUUUUUGUAAAAUAUUUGUAAAAAAUGUUAGCCAAGAACUGAACUUUCUUCCAAUUUUUUCAAUUUGUUGAACAUUGACUAAUCUAAAUACUUCAAAUUUUGGUAUCUGUCAUCUUUCCCGAAAGAUCAUAGUUCAGUCAUUCAAUCGUAGUCAUAGCUACAGAGAGCGCUGAUUUGCUUCAUUGGAAUGUUCACGUUAAAGGAGCCUUUUUUCGCCUUGCCGCGAUUUCCGCCGCCUUGGGAGUGCGACAUUGGUAGAAAUUCAAUAUACCGAGAAAACGAUAAAGCUCGGGAACAAUUCGGACUACGGGUAACUUUGUCAAGUGGUUGAGGCUAUUUAACGCCAUCCAGGUAAGAUCUAUUAAAUGGACAGUUGCGCAGAAGAUAGUACAUUCAGCGUUGGAGAGAGAGAGUCGUGUUAUUUUAGCCCAUCGAUGAACGAGUAAAUUCGAAGAGUUUGAAUGAGGUGGCGACCGCCGCUUUUAGGAUGUUGCUCUCGGCGAUUGCAAUCGGGCAGAAUGCUUUACGAAAACGAACAACCGAGAAUACUUCGUCGCUGAUCUCUUGAUAGGAGGUCUUCAACGAUUGGAAGUGGGUUUUGAUCCAAGGUAAUACAGACGUUUGGGGGUCUCUCAUUCCGCAUAACUCGCGAUGCACCAUCUGCCUUCAUAACGGUGUACACUAGGGUGGUCCACUGGUUGAAUGAGAGGGGGACGUUGCCCCAGGUUGAGCGAACCAAAAAUGUGGAUAGGUGAGGCAUUGGCUACACAAACCAUAAGAAGCUGACCCUGACUGCCUUCAUUGAUUUGAAAAUCUCGGAAGAAGGGAAAUAAUAGAUCCCAAAUCGAAAUUUUUGGGCGUAGUGCGAUCGAAAAUGUACCAGUGAUUUUCCCCGGGAAGAGCAGUGUUAACUUCUGCCACCUGAGAGGUGGUCAGUAUUUUUCCGGAAGAACUGGACUUCUUACGAAUUUUUUUAGGAACACAGAUUCUCCUUGUGUUUCAUACGACGAUGUUUGUUUACGAGACAUCUUUUAUUUCACAAAUUUGACAUACAAACAAUGUCUUUUGCUUGGAGGGAGAAGGAAGGAACGUGUGUUACUGCUAUGUCGGGAGGUGAUAGUGUUGAUUGAGAAAACUGGACACGGCUUAAGCUGCAACUAAAAACAUGACUAGUUUUAGCUGGAUGCUUUCAGUCAUUAAAGUGAUUGGCUUGGCAAUGUCUCGUCUUAAGUAGCCAGCGAGUUAAUGGAGCUGUUGUAUUUCUUUGCUUCUAAUAUUUUCGAUAAUUUAUUCAAACGUAGAAAAAUAUGGCCCCCAUAAACGAUAACAUACCCAAAACCAGCGUCUACUUUGGCAACUACUUUUGCGUUAGACUUAGACAAAAAUUGAUACGAAAUCGAAGUUAAACAAGAACACACGAGCUCUUAUAAACCCAAAUGUUUGGGGCGACAAGAAGGUGAAAACCAGUUACAUUCUUUAGGCUGUAAGCAACUUUUAUACGAAUUCAGAAGGAAUAUUAUAUACUAAACACCCUUAUACACAAUGAAUAACGCUACUCUAUCGAAUAUAACUAUUUGUAUUAGUAAGUGUACGACUUGACAUAAAUCAUGAAGUAUUUAAUUAAAGCUAUUGUAUUUAGUGACUGUGUAAUCAUUACUACUUUUAGAUAAUGUUUUACUCCCGUGCGAACCUUUAUAUAUAUGUUGAUAUAGAACCAAUGAAAUCAUUGACUACAGUAGUAAAAAUGUUGAGGGAAAUGCAAAGUUUAGCGGAUAGAGUGACAUUAUAUAAAAUAUUGCAAGCAAUUAGGCAGCAACACCAUUAACGAGUGAAAUAUUAUCAGUAGGGUGAUUACUGACUAGAAACGUGGAGAACACCGAAGCCUCGAUUAUCGGACAGGCCGCUGUAAAUUAUGACAGGUGAACGGUUCUAGCUUACGUUCGGGCAAGCAGCAAUGAGACCAAAUUUAUGUGUUGACGUGUGAGUUAUUAGUUUAACCCAAAUCUAAGUUAAUGUAAUUGCUUAGGCAGAAAAGUACCAAAGAAUAUCCAAAUUAGCAGAUAUACGUGUGUCUAUCCGAAAGUUCUCUGUCCCUUGUGACCGUCUAAAAUUUGCUCAACGCUAGCUUUCAUAGUACACCUUAAUUUAAAAUGAAUAGUGGAGUCUCUGGGUUGCGGCAAGCUAUGGACCGCACUUACGAACGUCUAAUUUUGUCCAGUUCAAUCCCAUCCCCCACUCCAAACCUAUAACACUUCGACAUGCUCCUAUGCAUGAAUGAGUAGUUUUCCCGCAAAUGAGCUCGAAUGUAAUCUAGUUCUGUGUGAUUGAUUAAGCAAUUAAAUUAACACUUAUCCUAGUUACCAAUUCGGAAAAACUGCUGCUUUUAAUAUAUGUAAAAAUAAUUGAAAGAAAUAUAUAUAGACAUAUAUACUUAUUUAUAGACAUUUCAAAUCGUUUCAUGAAUAUAUACAUAUACUUUCCAUGAUUCAAUAUUAACUUCUUCGAUAGGUUUAAUUUUUUAGGCUCUUUUCUGUAAUUUUUUAUAGUUUUAUUUCGAUAUUAUUAAGCAGGAAUGUAAUUCUGAUAUUGAACUGCGAAAUGCAGAGCAUAGGAAAAAAGAUAUAUUGUACAUAAUGUGAACUUUUCAACAAGGAAAUCAUGUCCAUUUUCAUUUCUUUUUGAUGGACCAUCCGGAAAGAAUGAUAAUAAUGAAAUGGUUUAACUCUUUAGUUUUAGAUAUUUACCUUCAUUUACAACACAUCUUCAAUAAUGAUUGUAUAUUUCCAGAAAACACAAAAGAUAUUAUAAUGUAAUGAAAGAUAA